This is an RNA transcript of Rhagoletis zephyria (snowberry fruit fly), 6375 nucleotides long. It is a transcript of the gene named imaginal disc development protein B4, with no coding region annotated. NCBI's taxonomy places the organism in Eukaryota, Metazoa, Arthropoda, Insecta, Diptera, Tephritidae. The record is from RefSeq and is a predicted model, not a curated record.
GAAUUGUAGUGCUUCUGGGCUGUAUAGAUCAUGCCAAAUACGGGCCGGCAGUUGACAGGCUAGCACAGUGCGCGAAUUAGAAUAGAACUGAGCGAGAACGUGUUGGCAAGUGUAAUGAAGCUGUAAAAAUUGAGUGCCAGCAAAAGAGUGAAUAAAAAUUUAUAUAAAAUAAUUCUGUAAAAAAAAUGUGAUUUUCAAGCAGCAAUUAAAAUAAUAAGAGUUUAAUAAUUUUUGCGAUUCUAACAAAAAAUAUCCAAGUGCGGACAGUAUACGAACUACAAACAUACAUAUAACAACCGUCAAAAAGUCUCGUGCGUGUACAACAUUCCGGUAGCAGCUCUGCACCAAACAAAAAAAACAAAAAAAAAACAAAAAAAAAAAAAAAAAGCAAAAAAAAGUGUGUCAGUGAGUGUACCCGUGUAUUUUGCGAUUUUCGCUCAUUUUGUGUAGCGCAGGCGUGCGCGCCCUUCCCCUCCGACGGCAGCUGUUUAAACAAAGAAGAACAAAAAAAACCCCUUUGUGUCUGUUUUUCGCAUUGUAUCGCUUUAAUUGUUGCCUAGCGAAAUGACUGAUUCCAUAAAAUUAUCCGAAAUGCAACGCAGUAGUAUCGAAUUCGAACGUCAACGACAUUUGGCCAACUGGUUUAUCAAGAGUAGCCCGCACAUGGCAACACCGCAAACAGCGUCCGCGACGACGACAACAACGGCGGCAACGGCGACGGGCGCCGGCGUUGCACUAACAACAAGAACAACAACAACAGCAACAACAGCUGUAGCUAUUGGUGCAACAACAGAUAACACAACAGCUAGUAAUGCAACAAAAAAUACAACAACAUCGACAACAAAUCUUGGAGGGGGCCACCACACAAAUGGCAUGUCGUCUUCGGCAGCCAACUCGCACCACCAGCAACAGCAGCACUCGAGCGCCAAGCAUCACAACAGCUGUGGUGGCGGCGGUAGCGGCAAUCCACCGCCCGUCUUCUUCUUAGUCGCCAGCAAUGGCAAUUCAAAUGGCAAUAUUGUGAAUGGCAGCAAACACAGCAGCAAUGCGUCACCGGCUCCUACAGGUGUUGGUACGCCGCCCAAUGCGAUAAGCGCUGUCUCCGGCGGUCCGCUAGGCCAUUUCGCAGCCGUCGAGGGACGCAAACCCAAGCUGCGACGCUUCAAUUCGCACGACACCAGCGCGAAUAUGUUCUCAGUGGCGGACUUCGAGAAUGCACGGCUGGCGCGACGCAAUGAAAUCGAAAUGAAACAGCGUCUGGCACGGCGCAUGCGCAUGAGUGCCACUGGCGGAUACGGCUGUGCGGCUGGCGGUAUGGGCGCGAGCUUGAUUGGUGGCAGUGGCUGUGGGCUGGGUGCCAGUGGUAAUGGCAUGGGUGUGGGUACGGGGGGCGGUAACAGCAUGUGUGGCGGUGGUGACUACUCCACCGGCGAUAGCAAGGCGUCCAAAUAUAGCAAUGAGUCUCAACACGAGCCAUUGCCAGCGGAUAUUUUCCUCGAUCGCUACUCGUUGCCACGCGUUGUACGAAUUUCGUAUAAAACAAAAUUCUCCGACGAAACAUUGCAAUCGUCCUCCUCGAAUGGCUCAUCCACAGCCACGACGAAUACCACAGGCACCAGCGCCAGCGUUUCGAAUUCGUCGGUGAGCGCUUGUGGUCUAACGGUGGCUAUUAACACCGGCACGUCCUCAUCGACGGCCUCCUCAAGCGGUAAUGUGAAUGCGCACAGCUCGGGUGCUACGAACACGAGCAGCAGCGGUGGUGGCGGUGGCGGUGGUGGUGGCGGUGGCGGUAGUGCGGAUAGAGUAGGCUCCAAACAGCACUCAACGCCACACAAUACAACACCUCCAGCCACAACAACUCAGUCAAACACAACAAUUAAUGGUAAUAGCAAUACGGAUGUGGAGAAUCGCGAAGAUCAUGGUGAAUUAUUUCUACUCUAUCGGCUAAUACGACAACGCCAUAUAUUUCAUGGGCAUAAUGCCAAGACUGCUGCAGCAAGUCGCAAGAAAGGUGUGCUGAUACCGCAAGAGUUUCCAGGCUACUUUUCUCUGCUCAAUGACAAGGGCACAGCAACGGCGACCCUCUACACUUCCUUAAUACAGCUCGUACGCGAACGUGUGUACAAAUUCGUUUCAGUCGACAAUAUGCCCGCCUUUACCGAGUCCCAGCCCAACGUCAAUAACCCACCCGCUGAAAGUUGCCUACCCAUGUACACCCAACCACCGCCACCACCGACCAACAAUCGACCACAAUAUGUGAAGACUACGGCACGGGGUGGUCAAGUAUUCCGACUGCUAGCCGUUUUCGAGGAUGGCAAGCAAGACCACUCCAAUACGAUCGGUUGUACCGGUAGUGUGACCGCAAAAUCGAAUAACAAUCAUGGCCGUGAAAAAGAAAAGGGCCGCUAUGCACAGCUGUUGAACGAGAACCGGCAGGUGUUGUACGUCUCGCUCUCCACAAAGGGCAAAUUCUAUGAAAUCGAGCCAGGCAUACCACAAAUAUUACAAAAGCUUGGCGGCAUCGGAAACGAGACGAAUAAAAAGGCCAAUCCGGAUUGCGUACAUCGCAUAACGGCGUUGAUAACGCCACAGCGCGAAUUGCCGCUGACACUGCGCUACAUUUCCGGUCCACAUGGCUGCAAUAGCGCGAUACCCGAAAAUGUGUGCAUCACACACAUAACCACCGAAAAUGUGGUGAUUGCCUGUCCCAUUGAGGAUGUGGAGGUGCAGAGUCCACUACACUUACGCAAGCUGCAUCUGUCCAAAGAGAUGAAUUUGUUGAAGAGCUCACUCGGUUUCGAAAGCGAACAACGCAUGCUCGCCAAUCCCAAUGUGCAAAAUAUACUCAAAUUUUGUCAAUUUAAUUGUGAUCAGUUCUUAAAGAUGAUUGAAGUGGAAAUAUUGCACCGUCCGGAGCGCUCGGGUUCCAAGAGCCGUGGCGAAGGUUUGAAAAUUCUCAAGCCACUGCAUUUGCCUAAGCUGUUGCGACGAGAGAAGACCACAAUUCCGGCGCAUGAGAAGGAAGACUCAAUUAUAUUUCUUAGCAAAUCCGACCUCGCCAAUCUGGAGGCGAAAGAAGUUGCAGCGCAGGCAGCUUUCGAAAGCGCGGCGAGCAGUGCAAACCGCAUUACCGAGAAAAUGAAAGUUUUCCAGUCGACAAAGAAAAAGUGGUUCCGCAAGCAAGACAAGCACGCUGCGCACACGUUGACCUCCUACGAAUUGGACGUGCAGGCGAAGCGCAUGAGCAUGGAGCGCUAUUCGGAUAUGUCAAAGCUGUUGCAGGAACGUUUCGGUGACAAGCCAAAUGCGCAAACUCAUGAUGCGCAUGAAUCUGUUUCCGAACCAAGUGGUGGCGCUUCGGAUAUCGGCUGCUCAGAUACGGAGACCACCACAUUGGCAACCAUUGAUGAGAAACUGAGAAAGGUAGAGACGAGUGGCAAUAAAAUGAUAACAAAGUCUAUGUCGCUGCAGGAUAUCGAGCUCAUUAGCGGCGGCGCUGCGGCACGCAAGCCCGACUUGCUGCCAAGCGAUACCAUCUCCGAAGCGGGCACCGACCUGGAGGACCUUGAUAACCAGGACCUGAUACCACAGUCAUUCAUAACUGAGAAGCUAUACAAUGAGUUCCACGUCAAAACGCGCCAGUACAGCAAAUCCUCCUCGAGCCUGCAUCAACUGCUGAACUUUUCGUUGCCACAAAAGAUGCAGCUACAUGACAACAAACGCUCGAUGGCGCAGCUAAAGCACAAUGGCAGUAGUAGCGUAGCUGGAAAGCCAGCAGCCGUCGCUGACAGGCGUCUGGACUUCAACAUUGGCGAGCCGGUGACAGGCAGACGCGCUGCCGGUGGACUUUCACUACUCGCUGGUAACGCCGGCGUUGCCAACAGUCUUGGCAUUUUGGGCCACCAUUCGGCGCUCGCCUCACCGCUCACACCCACCAGCCUGAUCGAUGAUCUGCCCUAUUCAAGCGUGCGCGAUUCGCUGGUGCUCUCGAGCGACGAAUCAGCAUCGGACAAUCCAACAGGCAACAUCUGUCAGGCGCUCAAUAUGAUCGACUACAACAAAGAGAAUAUCUAUGCGGAAAUUUGUCACGACAAUAUUAGUCAUCACGCGGCGGGCAUAACAUCAGUCUCAGCAGCAGCGACCGCUGGCACCACCGUCUCGGCCAUGGGUGGCAUUUGCAGUUCAACUACACGUGACACCUUCUCCGGCGAUACACAUUCCACGCGGAUUUCCGACGACUACGGCGACUAUGCCUCGCUCACAUACACAGCGAUUGAGCGUACUGCUCAACCGAACAGUAUCCAAACCAGCGGCAGCGCUCUGAGUAAGUCAACAAGUGGACAAACUGUUGUCAACGCUUCGGCACCCACCGCCUUGGCGAUUAGUCGGGUACAAGUCAAUUGCAACUCUGUCAGUCCAGUGAGCUAUCACACCGUUUAUUUGGGCGACGAGCCGCUUGGCAACGAAAAACAACGUGAACGUGGCAAGCGUCACAGCAAGGCGGGCAGUAGCAAGAGUCGCGAGCAUGUCACUACAGUGGCACUGGAGGGUAACACACCGACAGCCUAUGAAACGCACAAUACCAGCGGCAAUAUUGGGGCUACAGCUGCUAGCAUCGCCAACGAACUGGAGGAGGUGGCCGAUAACAUUUACAAUACAUUGAAAUGAUGACUAAUGUGAUUUAGUUGGAAAUUGGGUGCAACGGUGUUGAGUAUGGUGAGCAGCGGCAAGGGGUUCUACUGAAUCAAUGCGGCCGCUGACGAGCAUUGCUCAGCAAGUGUGCUCAGCUAGGGGUGCACCAAAAGGAGUGAUUGAAUUUAAUUUACUAUUACAUAAGUAAGAUUCGAACUGCUCGAAAGAUUAAACAGCAUUGUGAUGUUUAGGGUUUUCUAAAUGACAUGAAAGGUGCGUUUGAAAGGCUCAUUGGUACAGAUAUUAGAAAAACAAAAGCACAGCAAUCAACUUCACCUGCAAAAAAAAACAAAUAUUUGUAAAUAAAUACAUACAAAAAUAAUUCACUAAUUUGUAGCAGCACAAAAAAUGUAUCAAGAACAAAAACCAUUAAUCACAAUUCACUUCAUCCACUAAAUAAUACGAGCAUCAACCAGACAAUUUAUGAAUACUUUGCACAAAACUCUAAUUUUUCGAAAUUCAAAAAUCUGCAAUCAACACAAUUUUCGCUGACCUGUAAUGAAAAAUUAACAGUUUGCUUAAGUUAGUCAAGAAAGUGUAAAAGCCUGAUUUAACCAGAAAGGUAAGUGAGCUUUUUUAUUUUCUGUAGUAAUAACCAGGGGGAGUAGUUUUUGAGAGUAUAAUUUUGGAACUUUAGUAUUUGAUUGAAAGCUUGGUUUCUUGUGAAAUCUUUCAAAAAGAGCUUGGGCAAGGCUUUAAGAAACUGUACGUAAUCAUUAUCUUAUAUUUAAAAACUAUGGAUUUGGGUGAAAGCUUGUUUUCUGGUGAAAGCUGUAAAUAAAAAUGUUUAGCCAUGAAAGCAUUCGGGAAUCACGUAAAGCUUUCCGCAGCUUUUAAACACGUUUUGACAAUUUUAAUGAACUUUCAUUCAUUUCGAUAAAUUUUCUGCUACCUUGAACUUAAAAAAUUCGUAAGCUUGAAUUCUUUGGAGUGUGUCAAUGCGAUUCCAAUGCCUAAUUCUAGUUUUCAGGCAUUUUUAGACUCUUUUCGAAUUUAAGCAUUCACUUGAUUUCAUAUUUUUGUAAGCUCUGGGCUUUAGUAAAAUCUGUUCAUAUACCAAUCACGACGAAAAGCUCUCUCUGGUCGUUGCUUACUUUCAGAAACUGAAAAUCAUUUGAAAUGACAGAUUUUUUGUGAAAGCUUUUAAUUUUGUGAAAGCUGCAUAUCAUACGAGCGUAUGUUUACGCCAAGGCUUCCAGUAAUGGUUGAAAAAGUCAUUCACCCCUAUUGCGAGUGUUGACUAGUAGUAGAUAAACGACUGUUAGUUGAUUAUCGAUUAUGCAUGGUAUUUUUAAACUCGUUUUCUCGUUCAAUAAGUGCGUGUGAAUAGUUUAUAGUCGCUUAUAUAUAUUAAGCUUUCUAUACAUUUUGUAUAGUCACGUGCAGAGUAAAAGCUCUCUGCCCAUCGCUGAUUUUAAGGUUUUGUGUUUAGGUUAGAGCUUUCCAAAGGCUUUCUACUUUUCAAGUGUUUUUAGGCUCAGUACAACCGAAAUUUCUGAUUUGUCUUUUUGUGUGGUGAAAUAAUGUUUUCAUUGAGUGAAUUUUAUUUCAGAAAUUCUAAUACUAAAUGUUCAAAAAAUAAAAUAUAAAAAAAUACGUAUUUUCAACUGUAGAACCAUUACAGGGCAGCGAACAACAGAUAAUCUUUGGAAUUUUAAAAAUCAUCUAGGAUCGAGUACUAUA